UCCCUUGAUUUUUCUAUACAAAUGUUACUCUCUGCUUUAUAUGGAAUUUAGCCAAACAGUUCUCAAAACAAAAGUGUAUAGGAAACCUUCACACCAACAAGUCCUGAUUCCAAAAUGGUCACCUGAUCCGCCAUCUUAUAAAAGAGCUGCGUUUCAAUCCCUCUUUAAAAGAGCAAUCUCUAUUGCACGGACCCAAUGGAUUUGAGUACGGAAAUAAAUAACAUCUACACCAUAGGACUCCAACAUGGUUUUUCAAAGACAUUUAUAAAAGGAAUCCACAACAGGGUGCAAAGACACACAGCAGCCGGGCCGCGAACGACAGUAAACAUAGAAGAAGCUGCUGCACCAGACAGGGACUAUUUUCCCAUACUAUACCCCUCGAAACACUGGAAGGCAUUAAGAAAAUGUAUUGAGAAAUGCAGCAAAAAACCAGCAUUCACAAGGAACCCUACCAUAUUUAGCAG
This 464-nucleotide long non-coding RNA is filed under the name Androctonus crassicauda. Lineage: Eukaryota; Metazoa; Arthropoda; Arachnida; Scorpiones; Buthidae. The record is from RNAcentral.